GUAGGUAUAGCUCAGUGGUGGAGUGUAUGCUUAGCAUGCACAAGGUCCUGGGUUCCAUCCCCAGUACCUCCA
RNAcentral lists this transfer RNA (72 nucleotides) under Camelus bactrianus (Bactrian camel). It matches the Rfam family "tRNA". Rfam says of the family: Transfer RNA (tRNA) molecules are approximately 80 nucleotides in length. RNAcentral also lists the same sequence under 1 other name. The record is from Rfam by way of RNAcentral. Lineage: Eukaryota; Metazoa; Chordata; Mammalia; Artiodactyla; Camelidae.